AGAGUUUGAUCCUGGCUCAGAACGAACGCUGGCGGCAGGCUUAACACAUGCAAGUCGAACGAAGCUUCACCUUCGGGUGAGUGACUGAGUGGCGCACGGGUGAGUAACGCGUGGGGACCUGCCCUUCAGUACGGAAUAACUCCGGGAAACUGGGACUAAUACCGUAUACGCCCUAAGGGGGAAAGAUUUAUCGCUGAAGGAUGGACCCGCGUCUGAUUAGUUUGUUGGUGGGGUAAUGGCCUACCAAGACUACGAUCAGUAGCUGGUUUGAGAGAAUGAUCAGCCACACUGGGACUGAGACACGGCCCAGACUCCUACGGGAGGCAGCAGUGGGGAAUCUUGGACAAUGGGGGAAACCCUGAUCCGGCCAUGCCGCGUGAGUGAAGAAGGCCCUAGGGUUGUAAAGCUCUUUCAAUAGUGAGGAUAAUGACAGUAGCUAUAGAAGAAGCCCCGGCUAACUUCGUGCCAGCAGCCGCGGUAAUACGAAGGGGGCGAGCGUUGUUCGGAAUUACUGGGCGUAAAGAGUACGUAGGCGGAUUGGUCAGUUAGAAGUGAAAGCCUUGGGCUUAACCCGAGAAUUGCUUUUAAUACUGCCGGUCUUGAAUCCUGGAGAGGAUAGGGGAAUUCCCAGUGUAGAGGUGAAAUUCGUAGAUAUUGGGAGGAACACCAGUGGCGUAGGCGCCUAUCUGGACAGGUAUUGACGCUGAGGUACGAAAGCGUGGGGAUCAAACAGGAUUAGAUACCCUGGUAGUCCACGCCGUAAACGGUGUGUGCUAGCCGUCAGGAAGCUUAGCUUUUUGGUGGCGCCGCUAACGCAUUAAGCACACCGCCUGGGGAGUACGGUCGCAAGAUUAAAACUC
Molecule: ribosomal RNA, 860 nt
Filed under: uncultured bacterium
Lineage: Bacteria
Description: bacterial SSU rRNA
Rfam family: Bacterial small subunit ribosomal RNA
Source: RNAcentral